This 518-nucleotide ribosomal RNA is filed under the name uncultured bacterium. Its description in RNAcentral is "partial 16S ribosomal RNA". It matches the Rfam family "Bacterial small subunit ribosomal RNA", at positions 28 to 507 of the family's 1533-position model. The record is from RNAcentral.
GACGAACGCUGGCGGCGUGCCUAAUACAUGCAAGUCGAACGCACUCUCGUUAGAUUGAAGCAGCUUGCUUCUGAUUGAUAACAUUUGAGUGAGUGGCGGACGGGUGAGUAACACGUGGGUAACCUGCCCUAAAGUGGGGGAUAACAUUUGGAAACAGAUGCUAAUACCGCAUAAAACCUAGCACCGCAUGGUGCAAGGUUGAAAGAUGGUUUCGGCUAUCACUUUAGGAUGGACCCGCGGUGCAUUAGUUAGUUGGUGAGGUAAAGGCUCACCAAGACCGUGAUGCAUAGCCGACCUGAGAGGGUAAUCGGACACACUGGGACUGAGACACGGCCCAGACUCCUACGGGAGGCAGCAGUAGGGAAUCUUCCACAAUGGACGAAAGUCUGAUGGAGCAACGCCGCGUGAGUGAAGAAGGUUUUCGGAUCGUAAAACUCUGUUGUUGGAGAAGAACGUAUUUGAUAGUAACUGAUCAGGUAGUGACGGUAUCCAACCAGAAAGCCACGGCUAACUACGUG